Molecule: ribosomal RNA, 468 nt
Filed under: uncultured bacterium
Lineage: Bacteria
Description: partial 16S ribosomal RNA
Rfam family: Bacterial small subunit ribosomal RNA
Source: RNAcentral
GACGAACGCUGGCGGCGUGCUUAACACAUGCAAGUCGAACGGAAAGGCCCUGCUUUUGUGGGGUGCUCGAGUGGCGAACGGGUGAGUAACACGUGAGUAACCUGCCCUUGACUUUGGGAUAACUUCAGGAAACUGGGGCUAAUACCGGAUAGGAGCUCCUGCUGCAUGGUGGGGGUUGGAAAGUUUCGGCGGUUGGGGAUGGACUCGCGGCUUAUCAGCUUGUUGGUGGGGGAGUGGCUUACCAAGGCUUUGACGGGUAGCCGGCCGGAGAGGGUGACCGGCCACAUGGGGCCGGGGAUACGGCCCGGACUCCUACGGGAGGCAGCAGGGGGGAAUAUUGCACAAUGGGCGGAAGCCUGAUGCAGCAACGCGGGGGGCGGGAUGACGGCCUUCGGGUUGUAAACCGCUUUCGCCUGUGACGAAGCGUGAGUGACGGUAAUGGGUAAAGAAGCACCGGCUAACUACGUG